Molecule: transfer RNA, 61 nt
Filed under: Hyalella tiwanaku
Lineage: Eukaryota; Metazoa; Arthropoda; Malacostraca; Amphipoda; Hyalellidae
Description: tRNA-Asp
Source: RNAcentral
AAGAAUUUAGUAAAAAUAUUACAUUAGUUUGUCAAACUAAAAUUACCUACCGUGUUUCUUA